UAGGGUUUGAUCCUGGCUCAGAUUGAACGCUGGCGGCAGGCUUAACACAUGCAAGUCGAGCGGAUGAAGGUAGCUUGCUACUGGAUUCAGCGGCGGACGGGUGAGUAAUGCUUAGGAAUCUGCCUAUUAGUGGGGGACAACGUUCCGAAAGGAGCGCUAAUACCGCAUACGUCCUACGGGAGAAAGCAGGGGACCUUCGGGCCUUGCGCUAAUAGAUGAGCCUAAGUCGGAUUAGCUAGUUGGUAGGGUAAAGGCCUACCAAGGCGACGAUCUGUAGCGGGUCUGAGAGGAUGAUCCGCCACACUGGGACUGAGACACGGCCCAGACUCCUACGGGAGGCAGCAGUGGGGAAUAUUGGACAAUGGGGGGAACCCUGAUCCAGCCAUGCCGCGUGUGUGAAGAAGGCCUUUUGGUUGUAAAGCACUUUAAGCGAGGAGGAGGCUACCUAGAUUAAUACUUUAGGAUAGUGGACGUUACUCGCAGAAUAAGCACCGGCUAACUCUGUGCCAGCAGCCGCGGUAAUACAGAGGGUGCGAGCGUUAAUCGGAUUUACUGGGCGUAAAGCGUGCGUAGGCGGCCAAUUAAGUCAAAUGUGAAAUCCCCGAGCUUAACUUGGGAAUUGCAUUCGAUACUGGUUGGCUAGAGUAUGGGAGAGGAUGGUAGAAUUCCAGGUGUAGCGGUGAAAUGCGUAGAGAUCUGGAGGAAUACCGAUGGCGAAAGCAGCCAUCUGGCCUAAUACUGACGCUGAUGUACGAAAGCAUGGGGAGCAACAGGA
This 775-nucleotide ribosomal RNA is filed under the name uncultured Acinetobacter sp. RNAcentral describes it as "bacterial SSU rRNA". It matches the Rfam family "Bacterial small subunit ribosomal RNA", at positions 1 to 777 of the family's 1533-position model. The record is from RNAcentral. Lineage: Bacteria; Pseudomonadati; Pseudomonadota; Gammaproteobacteria; Moraxellales; Moraxellaceae.